UGGUGUAUUGCUACAUCAGAGCUUGGU
RNAcentral lists this non-coding RNA (27 nucleotides) under Mus musculus (house mouse). Lineage: Eukaryota; Metazoa; Chordata; Mammalia; Rodentia; Muridae. The record is from RNAcentral.